Molecule: ribosomal RNA, 264 nt
Filed under: uncultured archaeon
Lineage: Archaea
Description: partial 16S ribosomal RNA
Rfam family: Archaeal small subunit ribosomal RNA
Source: RNAcentral
AGACGUCUACAUUAGACUACCCCGUAGUCCCAGCCGUAAACUAUGCGCGUUAGGUGUAUCGGUGACCACGAGUCACCGAGGUGCCGAAGGGAACCGUGAAACGUGCCGCCUGGGAAGUACGGUCGCAAGGCUAGAAACUUAAAGGAAUUGGCGGGGAGCACCACAACGGGUGGAGCCUGCGGUUUAAUUGGACUCAACGCCGGGAAGCUCACCGGAUAAGACAGCGGAAUGAUUGCCGGGCUGAAGACUCUGCAUGACUAGCUG